CAGUCGCCACGGGAAUACAGAGGGUGCAAGCGUUAAUCGGAAUUACUGGGCGUAAAGCGCGCGUAGGUGGUUUGUUAAGUUGGAUGUGAAAGCCCCGGGCUCAACCUGGGAACUGCAUCCAAAACUGGCAAGCUAGAGUACGGUAGAGGGUGGUGGAAUUUCCUGUGUAGCGGUGAAAUGCGUAGAUAUAGGAAGGAACACCAGUGGCGAAGGCGACCACCUGGACUGAUACUGACACUGAGGUGCGAAAGCGUGGGGAGCAAACAGGAUUAGAUACCCGGGUAGUCCCUGUCUCUUAUAC
RNAcentral lists this ribosomal RNA (301 nucleotides) under uncultured bacterium. RNAcentral's name for it is "partial 16S ribosomal RNA". It matches the Rfam family "Bacterial small subunit ribosomal RNA", at positions 509 to 807 of the family's 1533-position model. The record is from RNAcentral.